Long non-coding RNA from Sinocyclocheilus grahami, 223 nucleotides. RefSeq lists it as uncharacterized. The record is from RefSeq and is a predicted model, not a curated record. The transcript has 3 exons. Lineage: Eukaryota; Metazoa; Chordata; Actinopteri; Cypriniformes; Cyprinidae.
UUUACAGGAAUGGAUUAGUGUCUUCAAAAAGACCAUUAGCAUCACAACCGUUAACUAGCUAUAGAGGCUAACUAUUAGAGGAGCAUCAGAAAACCCUAAAACGGGAAGUUACAAGAAAAUGUGUAAUGGGAGCUGCUGACAGAGAUACAGGAAUCACAGAGCUGGAGCGGAUCUCCUGUCGAAGAACAUUUCCAAAGCACUAUGAACCAUCUGACUAGUAAGU